Vigna umbellata (rice bean) is the source of this 330-nucleotide non-coding RNA. Lineage: Eukaryota; Viridiplantae; Streptophyta; Magnoliopsida; Fabales; Fabaceae. The record is from RefSeq and is a predicted model, not a curated record.
UUCAAGUAUACAAAAUGUGGGGUUACCUUUGAGAAGUCCAUCACGGGAAGAGUGCAAAGAAAUAAUAGUAAAGCUGAUGUUCGAUUAGAUGCUCUCAAUAAAGAUGAUCAGAAGAAUAAUACAAAAGGAGGCCAAUCAGUUUUCUCCACAAAGGACAGGUUUACAUGGAAGACUACAGCUACGAGGUUUAUUAAUCAUUUCAUUUAGUGGUUCGGUGAAGUUUUAUUGAAUACUUGAAUGAAACCCAGUAUAUUCGUCUUUUCCAAGCACGCACGAAGAUCGUUUAACCAGUACCAAGGAGGGUAAUCAGAGAAGAUACGAGUAAAACAA